Molecule: ribosomal RNA, 422 nt
Filed under: uncultured Glomeraceae
Lineage: Eukaryota; Fungi; Glomeromycota; Glomeromycetes; Glomerales; Glomeraceae
Description: SSU rRNA
Rfam family: Eukaryotic small subunit ribosomal RNA
Source: RNAcentral
GGGAGGUAGUGACAAUAAAUAACAAUACGGGGUUCUUUCGGAUUUCGUAAUUGGAAUGAGUACAAUUUAAAUCUCUUAACGAGGAACAAUUGGAGGGCAAGUCUGGUGCCAGCAGCCGCGGUAAUUCCAGCUCCAAUAGCGUAUAUUAAAGUUGUUGCAGUUAAAAAGCUCGUAGUUGAAUUUCGGGAUCAAUUUAUUGGUCGUGCCAACGGUACGCACUGGUACAAUUGGUUUCUCCCUUCUGACGAAGCAUGAUGUCAUUAAUUUGAUGUCGUGGGGAAUCAGGACUGUUACUUUGAAAAAUUAGAGUGUUUAAAGCAGGCUUUGGCUUGAAUACAUUAGCAUGGAAUAAUGAAAUAGGACGUUUGAUCUUAUUUCGUUGGUUUCUAAGAUCGACGUAAUGAUUAAUAGGGAUAGUUGGG